Molecule: long non-coding RNA, 199 nt
Filed under: Brachypodium distachyon (stiff brome)
Lineage: Eukaryota; Viridiplantae; Streptophyta; Magnoliopsida; Poales; Poaceae
Description: long non-coding RNA (BDIS_LNC005747)
Source: RNAcentral
UCUUCUCCUUUCUCUUUUUCUCUGGACUGUGCAUCUUCGCAUGCGGCUGGUCGCUUGGUCACAGCCAGCUUGCCGAGGCUGCCGCCGUGCGUUCUGUCGGCUUGCUUCUGUAUCCUCGUCCAGAUGGUGGCCGUUGGGCUGCUGGGACUGCCAACCUGCAGCCUGCUGGCUCCGACGUUGGGAGAUCGCCAACACCUAC